CGAACGCUGGCGGCGUGCUUAACACAUGCAAGUCGAACGAAGAGCGAUGGAAGCUUGCUUCUAUCAAUCUUAGUGGCGAACGGGUGAGUAACGCGUAAUCAACCUGCCCUUCAGAGGGGGACAACAGUUGGAAACGACUGCUAAUACCGCAUACGAUCCAACCUCGGCAUCGAGGAUGGAUGAAAGGUGGCCUCUAUUUAUAAGCUAUCACUGAAGGAGGGGAUUGCGUCUGAUUAGCUAGUUGGAGGGGUAACGGCCCACCAAGGCAAUGAUCAGUAGCCGGUCUGAGAGGAUGAACGGCCACAUUGGGACUGAGACACGGCCCAGACUCCUACGGGAGGCAGCAGUGGGGAAUCUUCCGCAAUGGACGAAAGUCUGACGGAGCAACGCCGCGUGAGUGAUGACGGCCUUCGGGUUGUAAAGCUCUGUUAAUCGGGACGAAAGGUCUUCUUGCGAAUAGUUAGAGGAAUUGACGGUACCGGAAUAGAAAGCCACGGCUAA
RNAcentral lists this ribosomal RNA (501 nucleotides) under Veillonella sp. oral taxon 158. RNAcentral describes it as "bacterial SSU rRNA". It matches the Rfam family "Bacterial small subunit ribosomal RNA", at positions 30 to 500 of the family's 1533-position model. The record is from RNAcentral. Lineage: Bacteria; Bacillati; Bacillota; Negativicutes; Veillonellales; Veillonellaceae.